This 389-nucleotide ribosomal RNA is filed under the name uncultured bacterium. RNAcentral's name for it is "bacterial SSU rRNA". It matches the Rfam family "Bacterial small subunit ribosomal RNA", at positions 954 to 1325 of the family's 1533-position model. The record is from RNAcentral.
GCUUAACGCGAAGAACCUUACCAAGAUUUGACAUCCCGGGAAAGCUCUGGAAACAGAGCCGUGCCGAAAGGAGCCCGGUGACAGAUGCUGCACGGUUGUCGUCAGCUCGUGCUGUGAAGUGUCCCGUUCAGUCGGUUAACGAGCGCAACCCUCAUCCUGUGUUGUAUUUUUCACAGGAAACUGCCCCAGUUAAUGGGGAGGAAGGUGGGGAUGACGUCAAAUCAGCGUGGCUCUUACAUCUUGGGCGACACACGCGCUACAAUGGGAAGUAACAAUGGGUUGCCAAGCCGUGAGGCGGAGCUAAUCCCAGCAAACCCUUCCCCACGUUCGGUAGUGGUAGGCGUGCAACUACGCCUCCACUGAAGACCGGAACGUACGCUAGUAACGGA